RNAcentral lists this ribosomal RNA (446 nucleotides) under uncultured bacterium. RNAcentral's name for it is "partial 16S ribosomal RNA". It matches the Rfam family "Bacterial small subunit ribosomal RNA", at positions 338 to 795 of the family's 1533-position model. The record is from RNAcentral.
CCUACGGUGCGCAGCCGUCGAGAAUCAUUCACAAUGGGGGAAACCCUGAUGGUGCGACGCCGCGUGGGGGAAUGAAGGUCUUCGGAUUGUAAACCCCUGUCAUGUGGGAGCAAAUUAAAAAGAUAGGACCACAAGAGGAAGAGACGGCAAACUCUGUGCCAGCAGCCGCGGUAAUACAGAGGUCUCAAGAGUUGUUCGGAAUCACGGGGCGUAAAGCGUGCGUAGGCUGUUUCGUAAGUCGUGUGUGAAAGUCGCGUGCUAAACCCGCGGACGGCACAUGAUACUGCGAGACUAGGGUUAUGUAGGGGGAACCGGAAUUUUCGGUGUAGCAGUGAAAUGCGUAGAUAUCGAGAGGAACACUCGUGGCGAAGGCGGGUUCCUGGACAUUAACUGACGCUGAGGCACGAAGGCCAGGGGAGCGAAAGGGAUUAGAUACCCGGGUAGUC